UGAAUACUCCCACCGUCCCAAAAUUCUUGUCUUAGAUUAGUCUAGAUACGGAUGUAUCUAAUACUAAAACGUGACUUGAUACAUCCGUAUUUAGACAAAUCUAAGACAAGAAUUUUGGGAUGGACGGAGUAUUAA
This is a non-coding RNA of Triticum aestivum (bread wheat), 135 nucleotides long. The record is from Rfam. NCBI's taxonomy places the organism in Eukaryota, Viridiplantae, Streptophyta, Magnoliopsida, Poales, Poaceae.